RNAcentral lists this ribosomal RNA (199 nucleotides) under uncultured bacterium. RNAcentral's name for it is "partial 16S ribosomal RNA". It matches the Rfam family "Bacterial small subunit ribosomal RNA", at positions 1302 to 1500 of the family's 1533-position model. The record is from RNAcentral.
AGUCUGCAACUCGACUACAUGAAGCUGGAAUCGCUAGUAAUCGCGAAUCAGAAUGUCGCGGUGAAUACGUUCCCGGGUCUUGUACACACCGCCCGUCACACCAUGGGAGUCGGUAACGCCCGAAGUCAGUGACCCAACCGCAAGGAGGGAGCUGCCGAAGGCGGGACUGGUAACUGGGGUGAAGUCGUAACAAGGUAUC